This 506-nucleotide ribosomal RNA is filed under the name uncultured bacterium. RNAcentral describes it as "bacterial SSU rRNA". It matches the Rfam family "Bacterial small subunit ribosomal RNA", at positions 30 to 513 of the family's 1533-position model. The record is from RNAcentral.
AUUGAACGCUGGCGGCGUGCCUAACACAUGCAAGUCGAGCGGUAACAGGUGUAGCAAUACAUGCUGACGAGCGGCGAACGGGUGAGUAAUGCUUUGGAAUCUUCCCAGUAGUGGGGAAUAACCAGUCGAAAGAUUGGCUAAUACCGCAUACGUCUGUAAAGGGAAAGCGGGGGACUCGCCUCUUCUUCGGAAGAGAGGCCUCGCGCUAUUGGAUGAGCCAAAGCGGAUUAGCUAGUUGGUGGGGUAAUGGCCUACCAAGGCGACAAUCCGUAGCUGGUCUGAGAGGACGACCAGCCACACCGGAACUGAGACACGGUCCGGACUCCUACGGGAGGCAGCAGUGGGGAAUAUUGGACAAUGGGGAAACCCUGAUCCAGCGACGCCGCGUGUGUGAAGAAGGCCUGCGGGUUGUAAAGCUACUUUUAGUGGGGACAAAAAGCUACGGAUUAAUACUCUGUGGUCUUGAUUUAACCUACAGAAAAGCACCGGCUAACUCUGUGCCAGCA